CGAGCGAGAAAGAGGGGCAACCUUGAGUACAGCGGCGUACGGGUGAGUAACACGUAGGUAUCCACCUCUUAGUGGGGAAUAACUUUGGGAAACUAAAGCUAAUACCGCAUAAGUCCGAGAGGAGAAAGCAGCAAUGCGCUGAGAGAGGAGCCUGCGGCCGAUUAGCUAGAUGGUGAGGUAAUGGCUCACCAUGGCGACGAUCGGUAGCCGGCCUGAGAGGGCACACGGCCACACUGGCACUGAAACACGGGCCAGACUCCUACGGGAGGCAGCAGUGGGGAAUCUUGCACAAUGGAGGAAACUCUGAUGCAGCGACGCCGCGUGGACGACGAAGCCCUUCGGGGUGUAAAGUCCUUUCGACCGGAACGAUAAUGACGGUACCGGUGGAAGAAGCUGCGGCUAACUACGUGCCAGCAGCCGCGGUAAUACGUAGGCAGCAAGCGUUGUUCGGAAUUACUGGGCGUAAAGAGUUCGUAGGCGGUGCGGCAAGUUUGGUGUGAAAUCUCCCGGCUCAACUGGGAGGGUGCGCCGAAUAAUGCCGUGCUAGAGUAUAGGAGAGGUAAGCGG
RNAcentral lists this ribosomal RNA (567 nucleotides) under uncultured bacterium. RNAcentral's name for it is "bacterial SSU rRNA". It matches the Rfam family "Bacterial small subunit ribosomal RNA", at positions 63 to 664 of the family's 1533-position model. The record is from RNAcentral.